This 232-nucleotide ribosomal RNA is filed under the name Listeria monocytogenes. Its description in RNAcentral is "partial 23S ribosomal RNA". It matches the Rfam family "Bacterial large subunit ribosomal RNA", at positions 264 to 490 of the family's 2925-position model. The record is from RNAcentral. Lineage: Bacteria; Bacillati; Bacillota; Bacilli; Caryophanales; Listeriaceae.
AGAGCCCAAACCAAGAAGCUUGCUUCUUGGGGUUGUAGGACACUCUAUACGGAGUUACAAAAGAAAGUUAUAAAUGAAGCGGUCUGGAAAGGCCCGCCAAAGACGGUAACAGCCCGGUAGUUGAAAUGGCUUUCCCUCCAGAGUGGAUCCUGAGUACGGCGGAACACGUGAAAUUCCGUCGGAAUCCGGGAGGACCAUCUCCCAAGGCUAAAUACUCCCUAGUGACCGAUAG